This 250-nucleotide ribosomal RNA is filed under the name uncultured Prevotellaceae bacterium. RNAcentral describes it as "partial 16S ribosomal RNA". It matches the Rfam family "Bacterial small subunit ribosomal RNA", at positions 89 to 339 of the family's 1533-position model. Lineage: Bacteria; Pseudomonadati; Bacteroidota; Bacteroidia; Bacteroidales; Prevotellaceae. The record is from RNAcentral.
CGUCGACCGGCGCACGGGUGAGUAACGCGUAUCCAACCUGCCCCACACUAAGGGAUAACCCGCAGAAAUGUGGACUAAUACCUUAUAUUUUCCACCAAGGGCAUCGUCGAUGGAACAAAGAUUGAUCGGUAUGGGAUGGGGAUGCGUCCGAUUAGGUUGUUGGCGGGGUAACGGCCCACCAAGCCUUCGAUCGGUAGGGGUUCUGAGAGGAAGGUCCCCCACAUAGGAACUGAGACACGGUCCUAACUCC